This 465-nucleotide ribosomal RNA is filed under the name uncultured bacterium. RNAcentral's name for it is "partial 16S ribosomal RNA". It matches the Rfam family "Bacterial small subunit ribosomal RNA", at positions 28 to 506 of the family's 1533-position model. The record is from RNAcentral.
GAUGAACGCUGGCGGCGUGCUUAACACAUGCAAGUCGAACGAUGAAGCCCAGCUUGCUGGGUGGAUUAGUGGCGAACGGGUGAGUAACACGUGAGUAACCUGCCCUUAACUCUGGGAUAAGCCUGGGAAACUGGGUCUAAUACCGGAUAGGAGCGUCCACCGCAUGGUGGGUGUUGGAAAGAUUUAUCGGUUUUGGAUGGACUCGCGGCCUAUCAGCUUGUUGGUGAGGUAAUGGCUCACCAAGGCGACGACGGGUAGCCGGCCUGAGAGGGUGACCGGCCCAACGGGGACUGAGAAACGGCCCAGACCCCCAGGGGGGGAAGCGGGGGGGAAAAUUGCAAAAGGGGGGCAAGCCUAAUGCGGCGACGCCGGGGGAGGGAUGACGGCCUGCGGGUUUAAAACCUUUUUCAGGGGGGAAGAAGCGAAAGUGGCUGUACCUGCAGAAGAAGCACCGGCUAACUACGU